GACGAACGCUGGCGGCGUGCCUAAUACAUGCAAGUUGAGCGCUGAAGGUUGGUACUUGUACCAACUGGAUGAGCAGCGAACGGGUGAGUAACGCGUGGGGAAUCUGCCUUUGAGCGGGGGACAACAUUUGGAAACGAAUGCUAAUACCGCAUAAAAACUUUAAACACAAGUUUUAAGUUUGAAAGAUGCAAUUGCAUCACUCAAAGAUGAUCCCGCGUUGUAUUAGCUAGUUGGUGAGGUAAAGGCUCACCAAGGCGAUGAUACAUAGCCGACCUGAGAGGGUGGUCGGCCACAUUGGGACUGGGACACGGCCCAAACUCCUACGGGAGGCAGCAGGAGGGAAUCUUCGGCAAUGGACGAAAGUCUGACCGGGCAACGCCGCGGGAGUGAAGAAGGUUUUCGGAUCGUAAAAAUCUGUUGGUAGAGAAGAACGUUGGUGAGAGUGGAAAGCUCAUCAAGUGACGGUAACUACACAGAAAGGGACGGCUAACUACGUG
This 497-nucleotide ribosomal RNA is filed under the name uncultured bacterium. RNAcentral describes it as "partial 16S ribosomal RNA". It matches the Rfam family "Bacterial small subunit ribosomal RNA", at positions 28 to 507 of the family's 1533-position model. The record is from RNAcentral.